This 257-nucleotide unclassified non-coding RNA is filed under the name Hevea brasiliensis (rubber tree). Lineage: Eukaryota; Viridiplantae; Streptophyta; Magnoliopsida; Malpighiales; Euphorbiaceae. The record is from RNAcentral.
GCGGGAACUGCUGUUGAACCUUCUUUAACUGAUUUCUGAACUCCUCACCCAUAUUAGCAGCUCUCUCAACCAAUCCUUCAUUCUUAAUUACAUCUAGUGAAGCAAUUGCCACAGCGCUUGCCAGAGGAUUUCCUCCAAAUGUACUUCCAUGCUCUCCUGGCUUGAUACAUAACAUGACAUCCUUGUCAGCAAGUACCGCACUAACAGCUACGACCCCAGCACCUAAUGCCUUUCCAAGUAUAACAAUAUCAGGCCUG